GGUUAAGCGACUAAGCGUACACGGUGGAUGCCCUGGCAGUCAGAGGCGAUGAAGGACGUGCUAAUCUGCGAAAAGCGUCGGUAAGGUGAUAUGAACCGUUAUAACCGGCGAUGUCCGAAUGGGGAAACCCAGUGCAAUUCGUUGCACUAUCGUUAACUGAAUACAUAGGUUAACGAGGCGAACCGGGGGAACUGAAACAUCUAAGUACCCCGAGGAAAAGAAAUCAACCGAGAUUCCCCCAGUAGCGGCGAGCGAACGGGGAGCAGCCCAGAGUCUGAAUCAGCUUGUGUGUUAGUGGAACGGUCUGGAAAGUCCGACGGUACAGGGUGAUAGUCCCGUACACCAAAAUGCACAGGCUGUGAACUCGAAGAGUAGGGCGGGACACGUGGUAUCCUGUCUGAAUAUGGGGGGACCAUCCUCCAAGGCUAAAUACUCCUGACUGACCGAUAGUGAACCAGUACCGUGAGGGAAAGGCGAAAAGAACCCCGGCGAGGGGAGUGAAAAAGAACCUGAAACCGUGUACGUACAAGCAGUGGGAGCACCUUCGGGUGUGACUGCGUACCUUUUGUAUAAUGGGUCAGCGACUUAUAUUCUGUAGCAAGGUUAACCGUAUAGGGGAGCCGCAGGGAAACCGAGUCUUAACUGGGCGUUAAGUUGCAGGGUAUAGACCCGAAACCCGGUGAUCUAGCCAUGGGCAGGUUGAAGGUUGGGUAACACUAACUGGAGGACCGAACCGACUAAUGUUGAAAAAUUAGCGGAUGACUUGUGGCUGGGGGUGAAAGGCCAAUCAAACCGGGAGAUAGCUGGUUCUCCCCGAAAGCUAUUUAGGUAGCGCCUCGUGAAUUCAUCUUCGGGGGUAGAGCACUGUUUCGGCUAGGGGGUCAUCCCGACUUACCAACCCGAUGCAAACUACGAAUACCGAAGAAUGUUAUCACGGGAGACACACGGCGGGUGCUAACGUCCGUCGUGAAGAGGGAAACAACCCAGACCGCCAGCUAAGGUCCCAAAGUCAUGGUUAAGUGGGAAACGAUGUGGGAAGGCACAGACAGCCAGGAUGUUGGCUUAGAAGCAGCCAUCAUUUAAAGAAAGCGUAAUAGCUCACUGGUCGAGUCGGCCUGCGCGGAAGAUGUAACGGGGCUAAACCAUGCACCGAAGCUGCGGCAGCGACACUAUGUGUUGUUGGGUAGGGGAGCGUUCUGUAAGCCUGCGAAGGUGACCUGUGAGGGUUGCUGGAGGUAUCAGAAGUGCGAAUGCUGACAUAAGUAACGAUAAAGCGGGUGAAAAGCCCGCUCGCCGGAAGACCAAGGGUUCCUGUCCAACGUUAAUCGGGGCAGGGUGAGUCGACCCCUAAGGCGAGGCCGAAAGGCGUAGUCGAUGGGAAACAGGUUAAUAUUCCUGUACUUGGUGUUACUGCGAAGGGGGGACGGAGAAGGCUAUGUUAGCCGGGCGACGGUUGUCCCGGUUUAAGCAUGUAGGCUGGUUAUCCAGGCAAAUCCGGAUAAUCAAGGCUGAGGUGUGAUGACGAGGCACUACGGUGCUGAAGUAACAAAUGCCCUGCUUCCAGGAAAAGCCUCUAAGCAUCAGGUAACAUCAAAUCGUACCCCAAACCGACACAGGUGGUCAGGUAGAGAAUACCAAGGCGCUUGAGAGAACUCGGGUGAAGGAACUAGGCAAAAUGGUGCCGUAACUUCGGGAGAAGGCACGCUGGUGUGUAGGUGAAGCCCCUGCGGGUGGAGCUGAGACCAGUCGAAGAUACCAGCUGGCUGCAACUGUUUAUUAAAAACACAGCACUGUGCAAACACGAAAGUGGACGUAUACGGUGUGACGCCUGCCCGGUGCCGGAAGGUUAAUUGAUGGGGUUAUCCGUAAGGAGAAGCUCUUGAUCGAAGCCCCGGUAAACGGCGGCCGUAACUAUAACGGUCCUAAGGUAGCGAAAUUCCUUGUCGGGUAAGUUCCGACCUGCACGAAUGGCGUAAUGAUGGCCAGGCUGUCUCCACCCGAGACUCAGUGAAAUUGAACUCGCUGUGAAGAUGCAGUGUACCCGCGGCAAGACGGAAAGACCCCGUGAACCUUUACUAUAGCUUGACACUGAACAUUGAGCCUUGAUGUGUAGGAUAGGUGGGAGGCUUUGAAGCGUGGACGCCAGUCUGCGUGGAGCCAACCUUGAAAUACCACCCUUUAAUGUUUGAUGUUCUAACGUUGGCCCCUUAUCGGGGUUGCGGACAGUGUCUGGUGGGUAGUUUGACUGGGGCGGUCUCCUCCCAAAGCGUAACGGAGGAGCACGAAGGUUAGCUAAUCCUGGUCGGACAUCAGGAGGUUAGUGCAAUGGCAUAAGCUAGCUUGACUGCGAGCGUGACGGCGCGAGCAGGUGCGAAAGCAGGUCAUAGUGAUCCGGUGGUUCUGAAUGGAAGGGCCAUCGCUCAACGGAUAAAAGGUACUCCGGGGAUAACAGGCUGAUACCGCCCAAGAGUUCAUAUCGACGGCGGUGUUUGGCACCUCGAUGUCGGCUCAUCACAUCCUGGGGCUGAAGUAGGUCCCAAGGGUAUGGCUGUUCGCCAUUUAAAGUGGUACGCGAGCUGGGUUUAGAACGUCGUGAGACAGUUCGGUCCCUAUCUGCCGUGGGCGCUGGAGAAUUGAGGGGGGCUGCUCCUAGUACGAGAGGACCGGAGUGGACGCAUCACUGGUGUUCGGGUUGUCAUGCCAAUGGCACUGCCCGGUAGCUAAAUGCGGAAGAGAUAAGUGCUGAAAGCAUCUAAGCACGAAACUUGCCCCGAGAUGAGUUCUCCCUGAGACUUUAAGUCUCCUGAAGGAACGUUAAAGACGAUGACGUUGAUAGGCCGGGUGUGUAAGCGCAGCGAUGCGUUGAGCUAACCGGUACUAAUGAACCGUGAGGCUUAACCUU
Molecule: ribosomal RNA, 2902 nt
Filed under: Klebsiella pneumoniae
Lineage: Bacteria; Pseudomonadati; Pseudomonadota; Gammaproteobacteria; Enterobacterales; Enterobacteriaceae
Description: 23S ribosomal RNA
Rfam family: Bacterial large subunit ribosomal RNA
Source: RNAcentral